Molecule: long non-coding RNA, 281 nt
Filed under: Coffea arabica (coffee)
Lineage: Eukaryota; Viridiplantae; Streptophyta; Magnoliopsida; Gentianales; Rubiaceae
Description: long non-coding RNA (CARA_LNC005889)
Source: RNAcentral
GUCAACAUUAAUUUUACCAUGGGAAACGGUGGCUUUUUUUAAGCAGCUAAUGGACAUUAAUUUUACCCUCGGGAAAACAUUUGGCUAGGUGUCCUUUGCUUGUUUUGCAUUGCAAGAGAUAAUGGGUUGCUUUUGCCUUUGUAAUUACAAGUUCCUCUCGUUCAUUGUUCCGAACAACAACGGCUAGGCUUUGACUUGCAAGUUCCUCUGGUUCUUUGUUCCCAACAACGGGUAAGCUUUGAUGCUUCUCCGAUUUUGGCUUUGUUCAAUCCUUUGGUUAG